AGCGUAGGCGGAUUGGUAAGUUAGGAGUGUAAUCCAUAGGCUUAACCUGUGGCUUGCUUUUAAUACUGCCGGUCUUGAGUAUGGGAGAGGAUGAUGGAAUUCCAGGUGUAGCGGUGGAAUGCGUAGAGAUCUGGAAGAACACCAGUUGCGUAGGCGGUCAUCUGGCCCAAUACUGACGCUGAGGCUCGAAAGCUAGGGGGAGCAAACAGGAUUAGAUACCCUGGUAGUCCUAGCCGUAAACGAUGGAUACUAGAUGUUGGAGGGGUUAUCCCUUCAGUGUCGUAGCUAACGUGUUAAGUAUCCCGCCUGGGGAGUACGCUCGCAAGAGUGAA
RNAcentral lists this ribosomal RNA (332 nucleotides) under uncultured bacterium. RNAcentral's name for it is "bacterial SSU rRNA". It matches the Rfam family "Bacterial small subunit ribosomal RNA", at positions 568 to 898 of the family's 1533-position model. The record is from RNAcentral.